RNAcentral lists this ribosomal RNA (1491 nucleotides) under metagenome. Its description in RNAcentral is "bacterial SSU rRNA". It matches the Rfam family "Bacterial small subunit ribosomal RNA". The record is from RNAcentral.
AGAGUUUGAUCAUGGCUCAGAUUGAACGCUGGCGGCAUGCCUUACACAUGCAAGUCGAACGGCAGCACGAGAGCUUGCUCUUGGUGGCGAGUGGCGAACGGGUGAGUAAUAUAUCGGAACGUACCCUAGAGUGGGGGAUAACGUAGCGAAAGUUACGCUAAUACCGCAUACGAUCUACGGAUGAAAGUGGGGGAUCGCAAGACCUCAUGCUCAUGGAGCGGCCGAUAUCUGAUUAGCUAGUUGGUGGGGUAAAAGCUCACCAAGGCGACGAUCAGUAGCUGGUCUGAGAGGACGACCAGCCACACUGGAACUGAGACACGGUCCAGACUCCUACGGGAGGCAGCAGUGGGGAAUUUUGGACAAUGGGCGCAAGCCUGAUCCAGCAAUGCCGCGUGAGUGAAGAAGGCCUUCGGGUUGUAAAGCUCUUUUGUCAGGGAAGAAACGGUGGACUCUAAUACAGAUCACUAAUGACGGUACCUGAAGAAUAAGCACCGGCUAACUACGUGCCAGCAGCCGCGGUAAUACGUAGGGUGCAAGCGUUAAUCGGAAUUACUGGGCGUAAAGCGUGCGCAGGCGGUUGUGCAAGACAGAUGUGAAAUCCCCGGGCUCAACCUGGGAAUUGCAUUUGUGACUGCACGGCUAGAGUGUGUCAGAGGGGGGUAGAAUUCCACGUGUAGCAGUGAAAUGCGUAGAGAUGUGGAGGAAUACCGAUGGCGAAGGCAGCCCCCUGGGAUAACACUGACGCUCGUGCACGAAAGCGUGGGGAGCAAACAGGAUUAGAUACCCUGGUAGUCCACGCCCUAAACGAUGUCUACUAGUUGUCGGGUCUUAAUUGACUUGGUAACGCAGCUAACGCGUGAAGUAGACCGCCUGGGGAGUACGGUCGCAAGAUUAAAACUCAAAGGAAUUGACGGGGACCCGCACAAGCGGUGGAUGAUGUGGAUUAAUUCGAUGCAACGCGAAAAACCUUACCUACCCUUGACAUGUCUGGAAUCCUUGAGAGAUCAGGGAGUGCUCGAAAGAGAAUCAGAACACAGGUGCUGCAUGGCUGUCGUCAGCUCGUGUCGUGAGAUGUUGGGUUAAGUCCCGCAACGAGCGCAACCCUUGUCAUUAGUUGCUACGAAAGGGCACUCUAAUGAGACUGCCGGUGACAAACCGGAGGAAGGUGGGGAUGACGUCAAGUCCUCAUGGCCCUUAUGGGUAGGGCUUCACACGUCAUACAAUGGUACAUACAGAGGGCCGCCAACCCGCGAGGGGGAGCUAAUCCCAGAAAGUGUAUCGUAGUCCGGAUUGUAGUCUGCAACUCGACUACAUGAAGUUGGAAUCGCUAGUAAUCGCGGAUCAGCAUGUCGCGGUGAAUACGUUCCCGGGUCUUGUACACACCGCCCGUCACACCAUGGGAGCGGGUUUCACCAGAAGUGGGUAGCCUAACCGCAAGGAGGGCGCUCACCACGGUGGGAUUCGUGACUGGGGUGAAGUCGUAACAAGGUA